GGCUCUUCCAAGUAACCAAAACAUCUAGUUUCCCCAACAGAGAUCCAUCUGGUAUUUUGGUCAGUCGUGCCUCAUGGUAUAUAUGAAUAACCAGUGGUUUAAAUGGGGAACCACGUCUGCUUCUGGAAUCCUACCAAGUGGGAUCUUGGAGCAGGUUAUGCCGGAGGAAGCCUGCGUCACUCGCUGUAUGUGAAAGUGAAGUGUGAGGAGGUCGUCAUCACACUUACCUGUUGAGGCUUCUGAACUUACCGUCUGCCUCAACAGGCUGGAGUUUCUAAACUGCACGAAAAGCCCCAGCGAGUUGUCACCCAUCGCAGGAGACAGCAAUGAAGAAGAGAUGCACCUGCCCCAUGGUGCAGAGGAUUCUGCCUGUCCCAGCCUCCAGCACAGACCCACUGAAAUGGAUCACAUGAGGCGUCUUAUCUGGUACCAGAUGCUCGGCCAUGCCCUCCACUCGGUGUUAUCCCAGCACUUACCACGUCGGCACAGUGGGGUCAGCAUGACAGUGCUCUCAUGGCAAAGACGGGGAGACCAACUUCCCCGUCACAGCAGGGACACAGUGGGCAGGGAUUUGAACCUGGAUUCGACGUCAGCGUCCACCGUCUUACCCACGGCGAGGCUCUAGGAAGUCUCACUUCUGCAAGGAUCUGAGUGUCACAGAGCAUCUGGAGUGUCUGUCUGGACCGCUGGCUGGGAGCCCUCUCCUGGCAUUUGAACAAGGGGCAGCUGGGUCCUCGGUUUGCUGUGUAAAGAGAGGAGGACAGAGCCCGGAGGAGUUGAACCCCAGCAGAAAGGGGUGCUUGACCAGCAAGAGAGAAGACAACCAAACGCGUGAGCGUCCACGCGGGACCCAGCGCCCGUGCCUGGAGCCAAGGGGAG
Molecule: long non-coding RNA, 879 nt
Filed under: Piliocolobus tephrosceles (Ugandan red Colobus)
Lineage: Eukaryota; Metazoa; Chordata; Mammalia; Primates; Cercopithecidae
Description: lncRNA (ENSPTEG00000038184.1)
Source: RNAcentral